UGCAUGCAUGGUUUUAUCCUUCUCAAAACCGUUCAUAAAAAUUUACAAAUGCAGUAGAGGAUCGAGGAAUUCAAACCAUAAAUGCAGUUCCCUAUGGAGAGCUGAAAAUGCAGGGGUGAUCUUUGGUUCCAGGAAUAAAUAGUGAAACCAUUCUUCAACGAAAUGCUCACAGAGCUUCUAAACCAAUGAUUAUCCCCUCUUUCCCUAAUAACCAACAUAAGACAUCUAAACCAAAUGAAGAAAUGCUUUUACUAUCUAAACUAUCAACUCUCACUCACAUCACAUACCGAUGCUCAAAUGAAUUAUUACCACAAAGCCUUUCCCUAGCAUUGGUCAGUAGUAACACAAGCACAUUAAUCAUUUCCCUCUCUUUUCAACUUCUGACAUGUCAAAAAGAGAACAUUUCGUAAACAUACGCAGCCCGCACGCAAGCACACAGUCCUACACUACAUAUAUAUGUCCAUGAUUUUCUCAUAUUAGAAUCCUCUGAGAUGAGUGCCAGACUUUGUGCUAGGACCACCAACACAGUGCUAGCUGACCUCCCUCUUCCCUCGUCAUAUCAUCCUUGUAAUCCUGUUUAAGCAUCGAUUGAGCCGCUUGGUUGUUCGCACCAAUCACUGCAGCCUUCCAGCCAGCAUAGUUUCCACUAGGGUCACUCAAGUAAAGUUGAAAACCGAAAUUCUUGUCCCCAACCCGCAAACAAAAAUGAAACACCAAAGGGCCGGAGACCACCAAACUGUGUGUAGCCCUGCUUAGUAUCACAAAGAGAUUGAACAAGCUGCUCAACGGGCAUUGGUUCUUGGUACGCAAACAUAUAGCGCUGAGCCUGGACCCUAGAAGUGUUUAUCAGGAUGUUGGCAUCAGACAUUAUGCCAGCCACAGCACAAGCAACAUGAUCAUAAAUCUUGUGUUGGAUAUUUAUUCAUUAUUGUUAUUUGAUUUAUUUAGUUAAUUUGCUUCUGCUAAUAAUCCCUAUUUACCAGGAAACAUGGUUAGUGUUUGACCUGAUCUUUAGGAGAAUCCCAAUAGUCUAGGGUUGUUAGACGUGAGAUAUUUUGUUGCUUAAUUUUCUGAUUACUUGUUCCCUGUACGACUAUUUAUGCCAGUCUUUGGAGUCAAUGAAUGAUAGAACAUUCACUCAGACUUUCGCACUCUUUAGCUUUCAAAGUUCUAGUUCUUAACAUCUUGUACAUUUUCUCAGUGGAAGUUGUGGAGUGGAGGAGUUUGGAUGUGACUUUCUUCUCACCAACUAAGAUAACCCCAUCUUUUGACAAAAUCCCAAUUGCAGUACCCGCAUUUCCAAUGGCCUCCAUUGCAUACUCAACUUGGUAGAGACGACCCUCAGGGGAAAAGAUGGUUGUACGGCUAUCAUAUCUCCUAGACAUCUUUGAUAAUAACUGUGAACGUUUGUGAAAUAAUGGUAUUAAAUUUUAUCAUUUUUUUCUUCUGAGAUAAUGGUAUUCAAUUUAUAUAAGAUGAAACAAGGGAAACCCAGAAAUCCAAAUAUGAACACAGUUAAAAAUUCCAACAGCUCAAGGUUUUCUACAAUCCAACAAAGCCAAAUAGCAUCAAUUGGGUAGCAUACAUAUGUGAAAUACUGAAAAAUCACAAAUCAGAUGCAAUAAACAUUAAAAUUAAUAAUAAUCACAAGACGCAAAUUAAAAAUGAACUUGGUCGAAAUUGAGACAAUGUAAGCAGCCCCAUCGCACAAACUAAUUGAAAUGACAAUCAUACAAGAAUACGGGCCUUACCCAGUUUCGCUUGCUCUCUCUUGGUUCAGAUGCUUGACAAAGUUUACGCCUUUUGCCGCCUACUCAGCUCUCAGCUCCCUAUUCUAGUAUUCUUCUUCUUCCUCCCCAAGAAAUAACCAAGGCUUUGUUUGCUCUGGCAUCCGGGGCUCCGAGUAGGGGCCUUUGUAGAAAUUGGGUCAAAACUCUGAGGCCGAAAGUAUCGGCCUUUUUUUACACGGGUAGCCCAAACAUUGUUGCUUGCGCAGGUAACCCAAUAAUAUUCAAUUGUCUAGGCUCAACUAUUUCAGUGGACCGGAGUGUUUUUUAGGUCGAAAGUGGACCGGAGUUAAGUCCAGAUAUUUGAGGUAAAUCUUUUAGGGCUCGUUUGGUACGUCGGACUGUACUGACUAAUUUUCGUCGGAUAGUAUUAAUUUAUUUCGGAGAGUACUGACUAUUUAUCCAUAAUAUUAUAAGGCGUUUGGUGCUGUUCCGGAUAAAUAAUUUGACUAAGUUAUACUGUGUUUGGUGAUGUUUCAGAUAACAUCAUAUCAGACUAUUUAUAAAUAAAAAAAAUAUAAAAUUUUUUUUGAUAAUUUUAAUGGAAAUUGAGAUUCAAAUGACACAAAUUUUUUUUGGUAAGAUUCAUAUGACAAUAUUUGUUUUUCAAUUGUUUUUGCCAAGAUUUUUUUUCAUAUAACCCAUUAUCAUAAUUGUAGUAUCUCAUAAAAAUUCCAACAUACUCGCAUACGUUAAUAAAAACAGUAUCAAAUAAUGUAUAAUUCAAAGUGAUCACAUAUUAAGGUAAUAAGAGCAAAAGAGAAAGUUGUUCAUAAACCAAACUACAUCAAAGAGUGAAUCACAACUCCCUCGCCUCAAGUAAGAGAAAAACAAAUGCUUUUCUCAUAGCACCAUCCACUGUCAGGAAUAUUUUUUUUAUCAUUUGCUUUCUCCAAAAUUAGCCGUAGUGCCUUAAUUUGGUCAUUAAUAGACAAGUCCAUCUUUGCUUUUCUAAUAACAAUUGACAAAGAAAAAAAAAUGGUUCUUAGAAUUCAGUUUCAUACAUUUUUAAUUUUAUAAUUUUGCUCUUCUAGUCGUCAGGUAUGUAUGUAUUCAACUAAACUACCAAUACUAGCACAGUUGUUUGUUUUUGGAUGAAAACUGGCAAUACUCUGUUUAAUACCAACAAUCUAAAUAUUCCCACAACGUCGAAUCACUAUAUCACAUACAAAAAAAACAUUCGAUUAAAAAAAGUACCAAAAAAAAAAAAUUCAUAACCUAAUUUCUACUAAAAAUUUGAAAUAUAUAAAGCAUAUUGGAGAGAGUAUGAAAAAAGAGAGAAAGUGAGUGAUGGAUACCUGGAGAAGAGUGAAGAAAAUAACAUGUGGAGAAGAUAGUAGAGAACAACCCUAGGGAGAAGAAGAUGAAAAGAGCAUCUGAUUUUUUUUGUAGAACUCGUGUUCUUUUUCCCUAGCCUUAUAAUUAAGCGUGUAUUAUCUAAACCGGGGUGUGUGGGUUGUAUUAGUUAGUUAGGUAAGGAGAGUAUUAAAAGCCCAACCCGUAUAAAAUAGUCGGGUAAUUAAAUAAUACAAGUUGACACCAAACACCUGACAUAGACUAUUUACUCAUAUCCAGAGUCUAAUACGAUGUACCAAACGAGCCCUUAGCUGUUAUAAAAUAAUCUGGAAUACGUGCGAAUAUUGAGCUGCACGUAAAGUAGAUGAGACACAGUAUUUAGCGAGGUUCGGCUAUGCCUACAUCCCCGGAGAGCAGCAGUAGUAACUUUUCCACUAUGUAAAAUAAUAGGGCUACAACUUUAGAGUUUACAAUAUGUGAGGCUCACUGAAUUUUCUCUCUGCUCACUCACCCUAUUUCUUCCUUCUCUUCCUCCUUUCUCUUUCUUCUCUCUUUCCUUCUUUCCUUUUCUUCUCUCUUUCCUCCUUUCCUUUUCUUCUCCCCGUUUCCUAUCUCUUUCUCUCUUCUUCUUUUCCUCUUCUCUUUCUCUCUUCUUCUUUCUCUAUUUAUAGACAUGUUAAAUGGCACCCGUGUUUCUACAAUACACAUCCGUGAGUGUGCAGCCAAAUACUUUGCUUAAUUUUCUUUGUGGGCCCCAUAAAUGUGGGCUCCACAUGUUUCUUCUUUACAACAUUAGCAAUUUCUUUUGGAGAAAAAAGAGAGGGAAAGCCAAGGAAAGAGAAAUUUUUAAAGAAGUCAAAUGGACAAAUGCCUUGUGAUAUAUAGGUUAAAUUGUAGCUAUGGUUUCUGAAAUAUAGUCCGAGUUGUAUUUUCAUCUUUCAACUUCAAAAAUAGGUGUUUUCCAAUAGGUCUUGCAUUGCAGCGUUUAUCCUUUACGUCAAGUCUGUCUAAUUUACCUCUCAAAAAGUCAACUAAAUUGAUAAUUGUAUACCUCAAAUUGAUGGAAUUUAACGAAAUGACCAAUUUGACAUAUGUGAGAGAGUUGGAGGAUGAGUAAAACUAAAAAAAUUAGUUGAAUGAUCAAAAUGAAACCGGGUAUGACCAUUCGAUNNNNNNNNNNNNNNNNNNNNNNNNNNNNNNNNNNNNNNNNNNNNNNNNNNNNNNNNNNNNNNNNNNNNNNNNNNNNNNNNNNNNNNNNNNNNNNNNNNNNNNNNNNNNNNNNNNNNNNNNNNNNNNNNNNNNNNNNNNNNNNNNNNNNNNNNNNNNNNNNNNNNNNNNNNNNNNNNNNNNNNNNNNNNNNNNNNNNNNNNNNNNNNNNNNNNNNNNNNNNNNNNNNNNNNNNNNNNNNNNNNNNNNNNNNNNNNNNNNNNNNNNNNNNNNNNNNNNNNNNNNNNNNNNNNNNNNNNNNNNNNNNCAAAAAUCUUGAACUCCUUUUAAGAAACUUUUUUGAACCAUUAGAUUAAUAUCUAACGGUGAGUAAUCACAAUCUCUUGGACUCCUGUGGUCCAAGAGAUCAAGACUAUUAAAAAAAGAUAACACGAGCAGUUAUGUUUCAUAAAAGUAGGAUCUAUUAUUUAUUUUAAUUUUUAAUUUUAAUUUAUUUUAAUAUGAAAAAAUAUAAAUUUACUAUAUUAUUCUCAUUUAAUUAAUAAUUUCAAUUCUCAAUUCUUAAUUAUUAUCCUCAUCGAAGUGUUGCCUUGGCUGCUGCUGAAUUGGUUUAUAUAGCUAAAAUGUUUAAAGACAUUGGCUUCUUUCUAGGCACUCCUCCUCUUCUCUGGGUGGACAAUCAACUGCUAUUUCUUUGGCUUCUAAUCGUGUGUUUCAUACCAGGACUAAACACGUGGAGGUUGAUUAUCACUUCACACGAGAAUUGGUGCAAAAUGAUUAAUCAGCUUCCUGACAUUUUUACAAAGUCUCUAUCUUCCUCUCUUUGUGUAUCUUCCAUCCAAGCUUUCAGUUUGUGACACUACCUUCAGCUUGAAGGGGCUGAUAGAUAUAUCUCCACAUCUAAUUCUAGCCUUUCAUUAUAGAGUUGUUAAUUUCUGUUUAGCUUUAUUUUAAUAAAUUGUAAAGCUGUCAUUAAUGUACAUCUAUAUUAUUACAAGUGUAUAUAAACAAUUCAAUGUAAUCAUUAUUGUUUAAUAAAAUGAGAAUACAAUUUUAGUUUUCUCACAAAAUAUUGAAGGAGAAUUAGAAAGUGGAAAAGUCAAGAAGUAGAGGAUUAGUGUCAGGACUUUUAGGCCUGAGGAAACAGUACUGAAGUUGACAAUGAGUAAGAGAUUCUUUGAUAUUAGCAAAACUAACACGACAAACAUGCCAAAUGUUGGGAUUUUGGGUGACUGAUUUUGAAAUUAAAAUGUUGUAGUGGUGACGUUGUCGAAAAUGUUAGGUGAGAGAAGAACAUAUCAUGUAUUCAUUUUCUAGCCAUCUAUAAAUUGUUUUUUUUAAAUAAAAACAUUAACAACAUUACAUGUAAAACUUGACCCCAAAAAUAAAUAAAUAAUUACAUGUAAAACAAUUGAGUGAUGGGGGCCAUUGCAUUAUUCCCCUUUGGAUUUAUGCAUGCAGGAGGAGCUAGUAGGCUUCGCAUUUAUGGGUAGAAUGGACAUUAUUGGACAACCUUAGGUAUGCAUAUAUAGGAAAACGUCCAAAAUCCAUAAAGUUGGGACGUACGUGGUGGUGCAUGCAUGUUGGUAUUUGAUAUUGAUAUUUUAUUCCCACCCAAAAUAUUACAAACGAAUGCAGUCAAAAAAUAACUCAAAACCAGUGCACACUCGCGUCACGUGCUUCUGCAGACACAAACUAGUAAGCAAUUCACAGAGGACAUAGCCACAGAGGGGGAGCAGAUCGAUGCAAAUUAUUAAGUUUUUCUUUAAGCCAAAAAACUCAGCACCGACAUGACUUAAUAAUUAAGAUUACCACAGUAUAUCGAUCUGAUACACUAUCAGAUAAACAAAAAACAAAACAACAAAUUACAGAAAUUGAUCCCUCAAGAAGUAGAUUUCACUUCCAAGCUUUCACAUGCUAUUAAUUAUUAGCUGACACAUAUUAUGCUAAUCAAUUAAACCACAGUGACCACUAAUUGGGAUAUUUAGAACUGUGCUGUGGUGAUGAUCAACUUCAACUAUGCAGGGCACUGGAAUCCAGAGGGUGGAGUUUUCCCACAGUCAAUCAGAACCUGAAGAGCGAUGGGGAUGAUGAUGUUGAUGUUGAGAAGCUUAGCCUUGAUGGUGGUGCAAAGGCAAAUUGCAGCAUCCAAGUCCACCAGCCCUUGAAGCACUGGACAGCAUGCAUCCUUGGCACUGCUGCCAAUUCCAAUGUGAAUGAGGCCACCCAACACAUCCACACAAGCUCCCAACUUGAGAGUGUCGAUGGGACACGUGUUCUUUGGUGGUGAUGGGGUUGGCACUGGUGUUGGUGGUGGUGGAGGAGGACAUGGUGUCUCAGUGGGUGGAGGAGGCUUAACUGGUACAACUGGGGUAGGUGUAGGUGUUGGUGGGCUUGGUGGUACAACAGGUGGUGAUGGUGGUGGCUUAACUGGUACAACUGGGGUAGGUGUUGGUGUUGGUGGGCUUGGUGGUACAACAGGUGGUGAUGGUGGUGGCUUAACUGGUACAACUGGGGGCUUGGGUACAUAGGGUGGUGGGGGUUGUACAACUGGGGGCUUGGGUACAUAUGGUGGUGGUGGUUGUACAACUGGGGGUUUGGGGAUGAAGGGUGGGUGCACAAUUGGGGGUUUAGGGAUAAAAGGUGGGUGCACGAUUGGGGGCUUGGGGAUGAAGGGUGGGUGCACAAUUGGGGGCUUGGGGAUGAAGGGUGGGUGCACAAUUGGGGGUUUAGGGAUGAAGGGUGGGUGCACAAUUGGGGGUUUAGGGAUGAAGGGUGGGUGCACAAUUGGGGGUUUAGGGAUGAAGGGUGGGUGCACAAUUGGGGGCUUGGGGAUGAAGGGUGGGUGCACAAUUGGGGGCUUGGGGUGGGGUGGUGGUUUGACAAUAGGAGGCUUGGGGAUGAAGGGAGGUCUCACAAUAGGUGGUUUGGGGACAGAAGGAGGUUUUGGUAUAUGGGGAGGAUAUACAAUGGGGGGUUUGGGGCCAUGAGGUGGCUUGGGUACAUGGGGUGGAUGAGGAUGAGGUGGCUUUGAUGGUGGCUUGGGAACAUAGGGAGGCUUUACAUGAGGGGGAUGGGGUGGUUUUGAUGGUGGUUUGGGAACAUAGGGAGGCUUUACAUGAGGAGGAAGAGGUGGUUUUGAUGGUGGUUUGGGAACAGAGGGAGGCUUUACAUGAGGGGGAUGAGGUGGGUGUUUAGGUGGUUUAGGGAUGAAGGGUGGCUUUACAUGAGGAGGCUGUUUGGGUGGCAAGUGUGGAGGGUAUGUUGGUGGUGGACAGUAGGAGUUAGCAAGAGAAGUGAGCAAACUACCCAAAUUCACAAUGAGGACUAAGAGCAAAGCCAGGGUAUAAUUCCCCAUGUUCAAAACUCCACAACCCUCAAAAGAGUUGGGUUGUUUAAGACCGGAUAUUGAAACCCAACACCAUGCAAAAGCCUUCUUAUAGAGAUAUGGUGAGACAAGUUGUGAGUGAGUAUGUACAUAAGAGAGAGAGAGAGAGAGAGAGAGAGAGAGAGAGAGAGAGAGAACACAAUCCUGUACCUUUCUUUGUGGUACCAACUAAAGAUAUAUAAAACUAUUAAUCUCUGUGCAUAAUUAAUUAAUUUGUCAAAUUGCCAAGAUGCACAUUGAAUUGAGGUCUCUCCAAACUCCAAACUUCAACUUGAUCAGUAUCAAAUUCACCACAAACAAAAGGGAGGAAUUGAGUCACUUUCUUCCUUUACAUUCAGAACCAAGUAGGGCACUGCAAUCACUGACUUAAACUGUAGACAAAAGUAUUCAGCUUUUAAGGAGAAAAGGAUCAAGAAAACGCGGUUUUGUGAUAGAGGCAAGUUUUAACAUGUAGUGAGAGCCUUGCAAGUGACUAUUCAACCCGUGAUUGAGGUUUUGAUGCCAAGCCACAUGUGAGGCUUUCAUUGACAACAUUUUCUUGCAUUAAAAAAUUCUAAGGGUACAAAAGAGGCCUUAGACUUUUUCUACUUAAAGCACAUGGUUUUUCCUUUUUUCAUUUUUUGGGGGUUUUCUCCCGAAUAGACGAGUCCAUUAAUGCUACAAUGUUUUAGUCUAAGAAAUAUUCCUAUAUGAAUAGACCGUACAAUUGUAUUUGAGUGUCGGUUAUCUUAAUUUAUUAUUUUUUAUAUAAACGAUAUUGUAUUUUAAUUUAAUCCAUACUAUAAAAAGAAUUAUUUAAAUUUAGAUACAAAAUAAAGAACACAUUUGUUCUAACUAACUUAAUUAAUCCUAUGUGUGCAAUUAUUUUUUACAAUUAAACAACUCGAUUUGAUGUAGGAAUUUUCCUUGUACAAUUUAACUUGCUCGCUUUGCAAUUUCAUUUCAAAAAAGUAUAUGCAUGGCCUAGCCAUCAUGUCUUUCAAAUCAACAGCUCAUCAUAGGGCAUCUUUUUAAAAUGAGGGUAAUGCUGGCUUCACAUGCAGCUGCACAAUAAUUUCAAGAAUUAUUAAUCGUACCUAGCAUUGUUAGCAAGACAUUUAGGGCUGUAAUUAUGUGAAAAGUGAUGUUCGCCGAAUCAAUUAUAUAAGGAGAACUUACUGCAAAACAACUCUGUGUGGAACCCAUCUACUUGUUCUUUGUUUUUUUUAGGUCUGAAGUCCAUCUACUUGUUCACUCCACGCCAUUGAAGUGUAGUCUAUCUAAAAUGGUAAGGGUGCCCUAGUUUAGGCGUAAGUACUAUGUGCAGGGUUUUGGGUUUUUCUUUGUAGACAAAAACCUAGAAGUAUCAUAUCUACAUUGUUCUGACUAUUAAAAAAUUAGACAAAGGGGUAAUGAUUAUGCCAAAAUGAAUUUCAACAUCACUUUCGACCGACAAAAUUUCAUUUGCUUAUAUCGAAGCUCGUAUUGAAAUUUAUUAAUUUUAACAAAGUUAGAAUAUGUCAUCUGUCACGUAAUUUGGUGAAUAAAUUUUAUCUUUCGGUGCCUCUACAAUAUUAAAGCAUCAAAUAGUGCAAAUCAUGACAUCUUAUUUCAACGUUCAUUAACAGACCUUCAUACAAUCAAGGCAUCGGAUGCAAGUAGGGUGGUAGAUUUUUUCCCCUUUUCAACCCAAUAAUAUGAGUUAAAACAAUUAUAUGUGGAACACAAUAACACCGCUUUAAUAAUUCUAUCUAAAAGGGUAUAUGCGACAGCUGGCCAAGAGGUAUAUUCCAUGUACACAAAAUGUUACUUUCAACUACAUGCCAAUAUUUCUACAGCGAAAAUUCCAAAUCAACAUGCAAAGGGAAAAUGAAAUGGGAUGUACUUGCUGUAGUGCCUGUUUGGAUAGAAAGAAAGGAAAAGAAAAGAAAAGAAAAUUCAUUUCUUGGAGAAACCAGAAAUUGAGUUUUUCGUCCUUAUUUUCGAAGUGUCGCAAUCAAGUUUUUUUGAUAUAUUGAUGAGUCAUCCAUUGUAGAAGAAAUGGCAUCCAUCAAAACCUGCCACCAUUAAAAUCCAUGCAAAUCCACUUGUUACAAUUAUAUGAAGUCACUUGUGCAAAGCGACAUAUGAAUUUAAAGGGCGAUAAAGCCGAUGUAAUAUAUGUAGGGUCAGGCUGAGACUACUUUGUCUCCAAAUCUUUAACCAAAUCUAAUUUAACACUAAUUAUUAUUGCUCACUACAUCAAGUAAGAAAGAUUAAUAGUAUUUUUCGGUGUGAAUGCAUAAACGUAUCUGUGGAUUCUUAUUAUUUCGAUGUGAGCUUACAGCUUAGCAUAUUAACCUCACUUCAUAUAAAAAUUAUCUCCAAUCCUGAGGUCUAACUUUAUAAAAAAAAAUGAAAAUGACUUUGUAGGUCCAAAUCAAAAUGCAACGUGCCGACAAACACGGACUUAGUCAAGUUGGUUAAAGUGAAUGUGCUAUUCUCACUUUGCAUUCGAUUUCAAAUUCCCCUCCUUAUGAUUUAGAUUAGAUCUAAGUAAAACAUUGCUUAUAUAUAAAAGCAAUAUGCAGCUGUAUGCAGAAGAUUUGGUUGAAUAAUUGCUCUAUAUAAAAUAAUAGGUAAAGUACCUUGAUUAUCUUUUUUCCAACAACCCUGUUCCCUAUAUCUGCCCAUUGUUUAUAUCAUAAUCAAUCAAUUAAUUGAUUAACAACACCAAAUUCUUGAUACCUUCAGCAAAGACACGAUAUUUUCUACCCAAUUUAGUUUGUCGUUUGAAGAAAAAGAAGAAGGAAAAAAAAAACAUUUAGUUUGUCAGAUCAUAUCUUAUAGCAUGAGUGUUAUAUUUAAAACUAUAUAAGAAGGGGCAAAAUUUGGACAUACUUGGAUCAACUGUAACAAUCAUGGCAGUCCCUCCAAAAUCACAAGUGCCACCGGCAGCCCUGGUGCUCUGCCAGUAGCUGUUGAAGGCGUACGAAGCGUGGGACAACAAUGUGUCUGGUUUAUAGCAGGACCCAUUGGGCUGGAUUGACUUGCAGUCUGCACCAGACCCACACGCAUAGUCCAGGGCCUCUUGGACUAUUGGGCCAGGCACGGCUGGCUUGGCCACACACCACACCGCGCCAGACUGUGGUGGCUUUUUUCGUGGAGGGCUUGUGGGCCCUGAUGGUGGAGGGUAAGCUACAGGUGGGGCCAAGGCUGGUGGGCCUGGGAUAGGCUUGGGUGGGGAUGGAGGAUUUUUGGGUGGGCCUGGAAUUGUGGUGGGUGGGCCAGGUGGGUGAGGGGUGGGCCCAUUUGCAGGUGGUGGUUUUGGGAUGGGUGAGCAAGUGGGUGCAGAAGAUGAAGGGGAGGAGGAAGAUGAAGGAGUAUUUGGUUGAGGUGGGUUUUGGGAAAAUGGUGGAUUUGCACAGUAUGGAGGAAGAGGAACAUUUCCAGGCAAGGGAAGUGGUGCCAGUGAAUCAAAGGGUGGGAAAGAGAAGGGAGGACUUACCUCUAGUGGCUUAACAUUUGAGGAAGGCAAUGGUAAAUCUAACUCUAAGUGAUUUAUUGCUUUCAGCUUCUUCUCUAAUUCUGUGUCUUGGGAUUUUAAGAAUUGUGCAAAAAUUCUUGCAUCUGCUCUAAAACAAAGUCACAUAAUAAGUUGUUAAAAUUGUUCAAGUAGUGUGUCUUUGGAAAACCCAAAUAAAUAAAUAAAUUCUUGCUUACCACAUAAAAUGGAGAAAGUUGUGAAUGAAAUGGAGAUGAUGGCCAAUCUCAUGUAAGACAUUGUGGGCUGCAUCUCUUGAAAAGCCAAUGUGAUUAAAGGCAAAAUACCCAGAAGAAGCUGACUGAAAAUUUUGUGCUUAUUUAAUUCAUCCCUCAAGCAAACACUUGGGAUAAGUAUAUAUAGGCAGAUGCUUAGGCAGGCCAGAGAUGUGUGGGAGUGGUAACAAAAGGCGGUGGCCAUAAAGGAAAAUUAUCAACAUAGAGAGACUAAAGGAGAUUCCUGUGUCACAACUUUGUAGCCUAAGACUCAAAAAUAGUGUAAGAUAUACAACAUGCAGAGGACAAAGGUGAGGGAGAGAGAGACUAGAGAGUGUUGGUUUUGGAGAGGUGUACAAGAAACUUUUCUCCCUUUUUGCAUCUUCCUUUGAAUAUAUUCUUGCUUGGCAGUGGAGAAAUAUGAACAGUGGAGUUUUCUGCACUUUUAUUUGCUUGCUUUCCACUCAAAGUGAAACAAACUUCCACUCUGUUAAAGUAUAAGAGAUUUAGCUGAGUUUGUUACUUAAAUUAUGAGCCUUUGGAUCACAGUCCAAAUGGACAGCUAGGAUGUAUUCUUAGGUGUAGUUGAUUUGUGCCAAGUGUAGCUAUCUCAUAGGGUAGUUAAUGAUUGGUUAGAUUUGCUGAUGUAAGAGAGAAUAUUCUUUUCUUUUACUGUUAUAUUGGUAUGCACAGAUUGUGCAUGACUAAGUGUGAGAAUACAAUCUGAUAUUUUCAUCUUCUUCUUCUCCACGUUUUCUCUCUACAUUUUACUAGAGCUCCAUUCACCUAUAAUCCAAAAACAUGGCAGAUCAUAGUCUGCAAAUGCUAACAUGGUAUCACUGAGCCAGGUUUGAUCGUUUAGCUGGGCGUUUGAAUCUGUGAAGGAAGUGAGCUGCGUUUUCUAUCAAAUCUUGCUCUCUGUGAAAUCUGUGUCUAACAUGGCAGGAUCUGGAGGUGGUGAGCUGCGUGCUCCAAUCUUCAAUGGUGAGAACUAUGAAUUCUGGAGCAUAAGGAUGAAAACCAUUUUCAAAUCUCAUGGGAUUUGGGAGCUGGUUGAGAGAGGAAUAGAAGGCUCAGAUUCGAAGGGAGCUGAUGAAUCUGAUACAAAACAAAAGGAAAAAGAGGAAUCAAGUGGUUCUGGGAAGAUGGCUAUAGCUGAGAUCCUGAUGAAGGAUGCUAAGGCCUUGGGGUUGAUUCAAGGAGCAGUAUCUGAGGUGAUCUUCCCCAGGAUUUCUCAUGAAGAAUCAUCUCAUGGAGCCUGGAACAUCCUGAAGCAGGAAUUUCAUGGUGAUAAGCAGGUAAGAAGUGUAAAACUGCAGGGACUUCGUAGAGAAUUUGAAUACACUAGAAUGAGAGAGGAUGAAUCUCUAUCUGCUUAUCUUACAAAGUUGUUUGAUCUAAUAAACCAAAUGAGAGGUUAUGGGGAAGAACUAUCUAGAGAAAGAAUUGUGCAGAAAAUGUUAAUUAGUCUGCUGCCUGGAUAUGAUCCAAUCUGUUCUGUGAUUGAACAUUCAAGGGAUCUAGAUGUAAUUGAGGUUCAAGAGGUGGUAGCCUCAUUGAAGAGCUUUGCUCAAAGGUUGGAAAGACAUCAUGAGAACAAAACUGAGAAGGCCUUUGCUAGUCUGAGUACAGAUACCAAAUCUGCUAAGGCCACUGGAAAUCAGAAUUCCAAGCAGCAGAAGACUUGGAAAGACAAAGGGAAGAAGUGGGAUAAUAAACCUACGGAUGGAACUAAAACUCCUUGCAAACAUUGUGGGAAAUUGCAUUAUGGAGAAUGUAGGUUCAAGGGCAAACCAAAGUGCUAUAACUGUGACAAGCUUGGUCACAUUGCCAAAGACUGCUAUAGCAAGAAACCUGAACAGCAGCAGCAGCUUCAGUUUGCUACUCAGGUUACUUCUUCACCAACCAUGUUCUAUGCUAACAAUGCAACUGAGAAAAGGUCCAUGGAAGAGGUAUGGUACUUGGACAGUGGGUGUAGUAACCACAUGACUGGCAGAGAAGAUGUUUUGAUUGAUAUUGAUAGGAAUGUGACUGCAAAAGUUGCUAUGGGAACAGGACAGUUGGUUGAUGUUAUUGGAAAAGGAAGCCUGAUGGUUCAAACUAAAAUGGGAAGGAAAUAUAUCAAGGAGGUGCUAUUGGUAUCUGGUCUCAAAGAGAACCUACUCAGCGUUGGACAAAUGAUGGAGCAUGGAUAUUUCCUAAUUUUUGGAGAUAAUAAGGCAGAAGUCUAUGAUGAUAGCUCUCUUUCAAAUCUAGUGGCUAGAGUGGAUAUGAAAGGAAAUAGAAGUUUUCCUUUGAAACUUCAAACAGAUUUACAUAUUGCUCUAACUGCAAGCAUUAACCAAUCAACCUUGCUUUGGCAUAGGAGAAUGGGGCACUUAAACUUGCAGAGUUUGAAACUGCUGCAGAAUGAAGACAUGGUGUUUGGUCUGCCAGAAAUCAAAAAUACAAAUGCAGUGUGUGAAGGCUGUACUUUUGGAAAACACUGCAGGAAGGCAUUUCCAAAAGAAGCAACCAGCAGAGCUACAUCUCCACUGGAAUUGGUACACACUGAUGUGUGUGGACCAAUGCAAACUGUUACCAAAGCAGAAAACAGGUAUUUCCUCACCUUUAUAGAUGACUGUACAAGAAUGUGCUGGAUCUAUUUCUUGAGAUGCAAAUCUGAGGUAUUCACAGUGUUUAAGAGGUUUAGAGCCACUGUUGAAUUGCAAAGUGGAUAUAAGGUGAAGAAACUAAGAAGUGAUAGGGGAGGAGAGUACACCUCUAAUGAGUUCAAUAAAUUCUGUGAUGAAAUGGGAAUGGAGAGGCAGCUUACAGUGGCAUACUCACCACAGCAGAAUGGUGUGGCUGAGAGGAAAAACAGAACCAUAGUGGAGAUGGCCAAGUGUAUGAUGAUUGAGAAGGGCAUGCCACUUGAGUUUUGGGCAGAAACUGUUAAUACUGCAGUGUAUAUUCUAAACCGAAGUCCAACUAAAGCUCUGGACAAGAAAACACCAUUUGAAGCCUAUAGUGGGAGAAAGCCAGGACUUAAACACUUAAGAGUGUUUGGAUCUUUGUGCUAUGCACAUGUUCCAAAUCCACAGAGGCAGAAACUGGAUUCAGCAAGCAACAGAUGUGUGUUUCUAGGAUAUGGCAGCUGUGAGAAAGGGUAUAGACUGUAUAACAUUGCCACUGAAAAGGUGAUUAUCUCAAGGGAUGUGGUAUUUAAUGAAGAAGCUAGCUGGGAUUGGAAUGCAAAGCAAGAAUGCAGUGUUUCAGUGCCAUUUACUGAAGUUGUGUCUGAAAAGGAGAAAGGGAGCAAUGACACAGCUGUGAAGCAAGCAGAACAUUCAGUUGAGAAUGAAUUGCUAACAGAAGACAAUGAAGAAAGAUCUGUGGUUGAUACAGGUACUCAAGAUAUUGACCACACUCCAUUGAGAUACAAAAGUCUUACAGAGAUCUAUGAAAGCUGCAACAUCUGCAUCAUUGAACCAGAAUCCUUUGAAGAAGCUGUCAAGGAUGCAGCAUGGCAAAAGGCAAUGGAAGCAGAACUUGAGAUGAUAGAAAAGAAUGAAACUUGGGAUUUGGUAAAAAGACCAUCUGAUAAACCUAUAGUUGGUGUCAAAUGGAUCUUUAAAGUCAAGCUAAAUCUGGAUGGUUCUGUUCAGAAAAACAAAGCAAGGCUAGUAGCUAAAGGCUACACUCAAAAGCCAGGAAUUGAUUUCAAUGAGACAUUUGCACCUGUUGCUCGGCUUGACACAGUUAGAACACUGAUUGCUCUGGCUGCUCAGAAAAGGUGGAAACUGUUUCAGCUUGAUGUAAAGUCAGCCUUCUUAAAUGGAGUGCUACAAGAGGAGGUGUAUGUGGAUCAACCUCCAGGAUUUGUGGUUCAAGGCAAGGAAGACAGAGUUUAUAGACUCAAGAAGGCUCUUUAUGGUCUCAAACAAGCUCCAAGAGCUUGGUAUGAAGAAAUUAAUUCAUACUUUGCUGCUGCAGGAUUUCAGAAAAGUCCUAGUGAGGCUACAUUAUAUGUGAAAGCUGCAGAAAGUGGAAUCCUAAUUGUUUCACUAUAUGUAGAUGAUAUCAUCUACACAGGAAGCUCUAAAGAAUUGGUGAUGAGUUUUAAAACUGAAAUGAUGAAGAGAUAUGAAAUGACAGAUCUGGGAUUGUUGCACCAUUUUCUGGGAUUGGGUGUGAUACAAGCUGAGUCCUACAUCUUCUUGCAUCAGAAGAAAUAUGCAAGAACACUGUUGGACAAGUUUGGUUUAAAGGACUGUAAAGCAGUGUCAACUCCACUUGCUAUGAAUGAGAAGUUAUCCAAGGAGGAUGGAAGUGAACAGGCUGAUGAAAAGCUGUACAGACAGAUUGUUGGAAGCUUACUAUAUCUGACUGCAACAAGGCCAGAUAUCAUGUUUGCUGCAAGUCUCUUAGCAAGAUACAUGCAUGGACCUACUAAGAAACAUAUGGGAACUGCUAAGAGAGUACUUAGAUACAUUCAAGGUACUCUAGACUAUGGCAUUGCAUAUGAGAAAGGAAAAGAGGCAAUGCUGGUUGGAUAUUGUGACAGUGAUUGGUCAGGCUGUGAAGAUGAUAUGAGGAGCACAUCUGGCUAUGCCUUUCACCUUGGAUCAGGUGUUUUCUCUUGGGCAUCUGUUAAGCAGAGCAGUGUAGCUCUAUCCACUGCAGAGGCAGAAUAUGUUAGUGCAGCUGAAGCUACAGCUCAAGCAGUCUGGUUAAGGUUUGUUCUAUCUGAUUUUGGUGAAGAACAAGUUGAGGCUACAACAAUCCUAUGUGACAACACUUCUGCAAUAGCAAUAACAAAGAAUCCUGUGCAUCAUCACAGGACAAGACACAUAAGCAGAAGGUUUCAUUUCAUCCGAGAUGCUUUGCAAAAUGGUGAGAUUGAUCUGCUAUACUGCAAAACUGAUGAGCAGAAUGCAGACAUCUUCACUAAGGCUUUGGCAAGGAAUAGGUUUGAAUAUCUAAGGAGCAAGCUUGGAAUUAUUUCAGCUAAACACUUAGAAGGGAGUGUUAAAGUAUAAGAGAUUUAGCUGAGUUUGUUACUUAAAUUAUGAGCCUUUGGAUCACAGUCCAAAUGGACAGCUAGGAUGUAUUCUUAGGUGUAGUUGAUUUGUGCCAAGUGUAGCUAUCUCAUAGGGUAGUUAAUGAUUGGUUAGAUUUGCUGAUGUAAGAGAGAAUAUUCUUUUCUUUUACUGUUAUAUUGGUAUGCACAGAUUGUGCAUGACUAAGUGUGAGAAUACAAUCUGAUAUUUUCAUCUUCUUCUUCUCCACGUUUUCUCUCUACAUUUUACUAGAGCUCCAUUCACCUAUAAUCCAAAAACAUGGCAGAUCAUAGUCUGCAAAUGCUAACACACUCUCUCUCUCUCUCUCUCUCUCUCUCUCUCUCUCUCUCUCUAUAUCAGGCUCUACAUUUCUCAGGAAGCUAUUAACUUGUUAUUAAAUGGUUCCUUGGGAUUAAUAUUCCAAAAUAGUUUGACAUCCUUUCCAGCCUUAGCAAUCAUAUUUCACACACUAAUGCAUGUUUUUCAGCUUGAUGUGGUAUUAGUUGACUUCAAUAUUACAGAACUCUUGGUUCAUGCUCAUCACUGAACCUGAAACCUAGGAGUUUUUGUUUGGGAAUGUAACCAGGAAGAUCAAAAUAUACCAAACUUGGGAACGAGAGAGGUGCAUAAAACUUUUGCUCAUCAUCAAAGCUAAAUGUGUCAUCGUAGUUUGAGCAUAUUUCUUACUCUCUAUAUAUUUCAUUGCAGACACACAAGACUUUCAGUUUUAACUAAGAACAACUAAAAAGCCCACAUGAACUCCUUUGCUAGAAUUUGCUGAAAAAGAAAUUGUAAUCUUCAUUAAGCAGGCUUACAUAGGUAAAUAAAUUGUGUAGCUCUUAUUCUUGUUAUUAACUGUUAAAUUAAAAUCUCCAUGUCAUCCUGUUUUUUUUUUUUUAACUGUUUGGCAACACCACUUUGCCAUCCAUAAACUAUAACUAUUCUUCUCCCUAAGGGAAUUUUAUUAGGAAAUUACCCAUCUGGUAUGUAAAUCAUGUUUCAGAGUUCACAUUUAAACACAACCUUUAAACUUGGACAAUAAAUUAUAGGACCGUUGCCAACAACCCGACGCCAUCUAUAACAAGUGUGGCUUGAACUGUUCUUGAAUUUAGAAAGCAAAUUUAAGAAGCUCCAUUACUUAGCAUGUAAGUUUUGUUUCCGAGUUCAAUUGGAAAAAAUUAUGCUAUCGUUGGCAACUGUCCCUUGCCAUCUAUAACAAUCCAGGCUUGAACUUUUGUUGAAUUUAGGAAGCAAUUUAAUUAGCUUCACUACUCAAAAUGCAAAGGAUGUUUUUAAAUUUCAAAUUCAAACAUUAGGAAGCAAUUGAAUAAAUUAUGUGGCUGUUGCAACGGUCCCCUGCCAUAUUCGAUAUCUACCAUGUUUAUCAUUUAUGACCUGAAAAGGCAUAACAGGGCAACUAAGCUGACUCUAGUAUAAAUCUGCUCAAUUGUUCAAGUUAUCCAUCAUAUUGUGUUUGCUAAACCACAGCCUUAUUCAGGACAAUAAGAAAUAUGGCUGCAGACCCUUCCCCAAGGAUGCUAAUCACUCAUAAGGGACCCUGUGUCCGCUACAUUGCUUGGACUCCACUCUUGAAUGGUUUCUGGAAGCUCAGCUUCACAGGUCAUUACAAGCACGAAUCGAAGACUACUUCAGUCGGCUGCAUUUCUGAGAGAUCACAAUGCUGUAUUUAAAGCUGCCUUUGCGCAACAUGUAGAAAUGGUCAGCAGCUUUACAAGGGCUCAGUCGACUGCAGUCAGCUGGGCCCUUGAAUUAGCUAAAGGUGAAGGUGUCGAUUACCUUGAAAUCGAAGGAAAUCAUCCGUUUGUGUUUCGGAUGAUGUGGGGCGACAUCACCAGAACUAGCUCUAUGAUCAGGGGCUUGUUAAUAAAUGCAGAUGUGAUUUAAGACAGAUUAGGAGUGUGAGGCUCCGACAUGUCAACAUGUAUGGUAAUUUGGCUGCGAACUUGCUUGCGAGAAUUUCUUUGCAGCCUCAACAAGAGAGGUCAUGGUUUGGUGACCCUCCGGAAGAAAUAAAUGGAAUUCUAGUGAGGGAUGUGAUCGGUCGUUGGAUCGCUUUCUCGGACCUAUGAGUGAGUCAUCAUUUGGAUGACACAGAAGGACUUCGUGGAUUUCUUUCUUCAAGGAAAAAUCUGUUAAGUUGCUUUUCUUUUUGGUUAAGUAGCAGUUUGCACAUCUUUUAUUUUCAGAAAUGAAAUAUUUUGGAUUAGUGAUGAUUGUGAAGCCCUUGAUUUUUCUAAUCUCUUCCUUAAAGAAUUAAGAUGUGUGAACAUGUAACUACUAAGAACAAAAGUCAUCUGCUUAAUCUCACAUUUCAUUUUCAUUUUCUUCCUUUGUAGUUUAAUUGUAUUCCCUGACCUUUCCGGUACUGACCAUGACCCCUAUCUAUCAAAACCAAGUUCAAAUAAGGGAGAAUUUUUAAGGAGAUAUAUUGAUGACCUUGGGUGGAAUUUUUUCUUAGUAAAACUUUUAUGUGGUUUUACUCAAUAAACAAGUUACUCGUUUUACUCGACUUGAAUUUUUGCCUAUUUUGUCUAGAAUCAAUUACGUUUGAUGAUGAAACCAAUUACCAAAUAGUUCUUAAUCUAGUGAUACUUCUCUUCUCAACAAGUUACAAGGAUUCCGAACUCAAUUUAAUCACCUGUAGAAAUUACUUUGUCGCUGACAUGCCCGUGUGCCUUCAAAUGUUGAGGUCCAUUAGAAAGUGACCGUGCCUUUUAUCAAUAACAAACCCACAUGCCCAACUUGACCAACAAAUAAUAUUUUAAUAAAGUAACCGGUGCCUUUUAAGAAUGUAUUGUGGGAUGAAUUAAUGAUCUACCACAAUUAAAUGCAUUUUCAAAUAGCGAAAUAUUACAACAUCGCAGAGAGGUAUUGCAUGAUCUACCACUCUAGUUAUUCUGUUGCUGCAGUGCAGUGCAAUGCAGGUGUACAACUUAUUGUUCAACAGAAAACACAAAAUAACUUAACUUGAACUAAGUCCAUAAUAUAAAAAAGAUGAAGAGGCCAUGGACUGGAAACUCUGGAUCCAGAUGAUGUAGGGAUCAAGGGGUGUAUGGCCUUGGAAUAAGAUACAGAGGAGCUUUCUUAUGGACUGUGAGUCCGAACACUUCGGUCAUGUUCAAUGUGUCAGCCAAUUUAGUACCACCACUAGGCAACUUCCAAUCGAACCAAAACAGUAGGUUGGCAAGCACAUAUUCAGCUGAAGCAACCGCAAAGGCCAGUCCGGGGCACACCCUUCUUCCACCACCAAACGGGAGGAGUUCGAACUCUUGACCUACCAAACCGAUGGAGUUCUGCUCAAACCUCUCUGGCAUAAACUCUUCUGGCUUGUCCCAGACUCUGCGGUCUGUUUGUAUUGCGAAUGCAUUCACAAACACUUGUGUUUUCGCAGGGAUGUCGUAACCUCCCAAUUUUACAUCUGCAGUUGUUUCACGAGGAAGUAAAAGAGGACCUGGAGGAUGAAGCCUUAGAUUUUCGGUGAUUACACAUGACAAGUACUUCAUUUCCUUGAUGUCACUCUCGUCUACAUAUCCCCUUUUCCCCGCCACUCUUCUUACUUCUUCUUGGACUUUCUUCAUCACCCGUGGAUUUUGCGAAAGCUCAGACAUUAACCAUAGCAUUGAUGUCCAACUAGUAUCACUUCCCCCAACAAACAUGUCCUAAAUCAUGAAAUUAAAUAGCCAAAUCAAUCUUCAUCCAUAUAUAUUUUUAUUAGAAAAUUAGACGUAAAACCAAAAGUAUUAGGGUUUAUCAAUGUGCGCGUGUGUGUGGGUAUGCUCGUGCCUGUUCAAGAUAAAGUAAGUGAAUGAGUAUAAUGCGAGUAUGUAAGCUAGAGAGGGGGGGAUAUAGACCUGCAUAAGUCCUUUGACAUUGAACUCAAAAUCGAGCGAGCCAUCCUCUUCAAGGUCGAGGAGUAAAUCCACAAUAUCCUUCUUACGAGGCUUACCAUCUUUCUGCGCUGCUUUAUGUUCGUCAAGCAACUUAUCAUAAAAUCCAUCCAAUUCACGUCGAAUUGAUUUCAAACGUGCAAUGUAGCCUCUGGCAUGGUCAACCCAUUUCAAAGAAGGGUAGAAAUCUCCAAAGCUGAAAGUCAUCAUCUGAACCAUCAACUCCUUUAUGACCUUUUCAAACCAAUUGUCUUCUUUGUCCUCAAACUUCUGUCCAAGAACGCACCUACAGAUGAUGUUGUUGGAGGUUGACACCAGCAGCGGCCCCAGAUUGAUGGGAGCCCCGUUUGUGCUGGCGGAGGCUUUGCGAAUCUUGCUGACCAGCUCUGCACAUUCUUCCACCCUUGCGUACUGAAACUGCUGCACUCUUUUCACGCUCAGAAGCUCAAGAACAACCACUUUUCGAGCUUUUCUCCAGUACUCCCCGUAAGGAGCAAACGCAACGUUAUAGCCGUUGAAGAACAAUAUAGUUGCAGCUGUAGUUUGAGGCCGGCCAGAGAAACCAAUGUCUUGGUUCUUCAUCAUGUCCUUGGCCAGUUCUGCAGAUGAAACUACCAGCGUUGGAAGUUUGCCAAAGUGCAUGAGCAUUAUAUCACCAUACUUCUUCGACAGAUCACGAAGAGAGCGGUGUGGGAAUUUGCCUAGCUGGUGAAGGUUCCCAAUCAGAGGCAGUGUUGGUGGGGAAGGUGGCAGUUCGUAGUUUUUCCCACUUGAAGAUGAUCUUGUAAGUGAUAACAAAAUGUAUGCAGAAAGCAGGAGAAGAGGAAGCAGGAAAAUAUUGCUCUGAAGCUGUUGCCACAUUUCAUUGAAAAGUGAUAAUGCAGCCAUUGUUCUACUUUUUGCCUUUUGCUUUUGGCUGCUCACAUUAAAUUAAUAUAUGUGCCCUUCUUCUUCUUCUUUGUAUAGAGAAGCUGGCAUUGCAACUUGCAUGCGCCUACAAGGUUAGUUGUGAUCAACUUGUGAUGUCCAUGCCCCCCAAUUAUUUAAUGGGAUGCUUCGAUAUGGGUUCAUUUUUGAGUUUGCACUAUGAAUUCAGUUUAUCUUUCUUUUGAUGUAGAAUUGGGUCCAGCUCAGGCCAGCCAAGUAUGCAAAGCCUUGGCCAUUGUACAGUCAAUCCUCUGAAUUUUAUUAAUUACUGCAAUCAAUAAAUUAAUAUCACAUCUCUACGAUUAAUCUCAAUUUAUUAAAUGCUUUCAAUCUUUGAAUACCUUAUGAUGAGGUAUAUAUGUCUUUGGGUGGUUUGAUUUACCUGCUUUGCAGGUUUGUGUAUACCUCUUUCAUAGGUAAUUUCAUAUCAUAUAUCUCCUCCAUAGGUAAUUAAUAUAUACUUCCUCCAUAGAUAAAUAGCAUUCAGAUGUAUACCUCCUCCAUAGGUAAUUUACCUAUCCAUACCUAAUUAACAUUCAUGUAUAUUCCUAGUCCAUAGAUAAUUAUACCUCCUCCAUAGGACUACAAGAAGAAAAAGAAGGAAGAAGAAAGAUUGUGGGAAAUUUAGUUAUUUAUUUAUUGUAUCAGGGCAUGUUUAUGGGAUUUUCAAAAUUAAAAUGGAUGGACAAGAAAAUAUUUUAUAAAUUCAAAUCAUAAUUAACUAAAAGGUCAAAUAUAGUAAUUAUUGGCCUAAGAUUAAUUUCUCACUCUUUUAUGAAUUGCAAUCAGAAUCAAUAGUUGUAUUAAUUAGCUAAUUAUUAUGAUAUAAAUCAAUCUUCCCAAUUUAAAUCAUAAGGCAUAAUUGGAACAUGAAAAUAAAUGUAAAAAUAAAAAAUAUAUAUGAUUACAUCAUAAAAUUAGAAAAGGAAUGUAAUCCUAUGUGGCAUUAGAAGAGGACUUGGAUUACUAAUAAUACGUGUGUGGAUUGCACCCAAAUUCUACCGGAGAAAUUAUAGAAUGAUAUGGUAGUACCAUGUCAGCGUAUAGUACUCCCAUUUAAAUACAGCCACAUGUCCAUUUUAGAAAAGAAAUUAAUUACGUUUCACAACUGGACUUUUUAGUUUAAUUCUUAACUUUGGAAAUAAAAUUAGAAAAGAAAAAUUAAAAAAAGAAUUUCCUAACAGCCAACUAUCUCCUAACCCAACAACAACCCUAAUCCCAACUACCUGCUAUGAUGGCCACCCCUCUCCUUCCACUAUCUUCACCCCUGAUACUAAUUGUAGACAAGGGAUUUUAGAGGAAGGAGGAUUAAACUGGUAUUGAUGAUGAUGAAAUGGAGUAGUCUUGAUAAUUAAAAAUUGGUUCGUUCUUGAGGGUCUAUAUCUGGGUCUGAAAAUAUUCCAAGGUGGCAGUGGGUUGAAUUAACAUUGUGUAGAGUGUCAUAAGCGAAUUCAAAAAAAAUAUAUAUAUAUAUAUAUAUAUAUAGGGGAAUUAAGGAAGAUGAUGAUAUUAUUGGGUUUGGAUGUUGAUGGUUUUCAUGAGGAGCGGCGAUGGCAGUGGUGAAUAGAAAGAGAGAGGGGAGGAAGAGGAAGAGAGAAGGGUGGCUGCCAUGGUUUUUCUUCGUUUAAGUUUUCUCUUUUUCUAAUUUUAUUUCAAAACUUAAGAAUUAAUAAAGUAAAAAGUCUAGCUGUAAAAUAAUAAUGAAUUUCUUUUAUAAAAUGGACACAUGGCCGUAUUUGAGUGGGAGUACUAUACGCUAAUGUGGUAGUACCAUAUUAUUCUAUAAUUUCUCUAUUAUUAAGAAUUGGACUUAUACCAAAUUAUUUAUUAUUUAAUUAUAUACAAUAUUGAGAGAACUUGUUAGGUUCGUAACUUCACGGCCCUCCUGAAAUGAAUGUUGGGAAAUUACAUAAUGCAUUAAUUGAGCCGUUUUUACCAAAAUAAGGUGUCUUCCAAUUUUAGGUUUUAGCCUAGUUUCUUGUAUAGUUUUGUCUUUUUUAUUUUUAUUUAGUUACGUGCUUCAAUUAUUUUAUUUUUUUAUUUAUAUAAAUGAUAUUGAGGGAGGGUUUUUUCACACAUUGUAAUAUAUUAUGAGAAUUCGAACCUGAGACCAUUGAUUUGCAAGUUAAUGUCAUUUUCCACUGGGUUAGAUCUCCCUAAACCCUAUAAUAAUAAUACUCAAUUUGCCAGCUCCUAUUUAUCAUGUUUUAAUCAAGAUGAUGCUUAUCCGUCGGCUUAUGUGCUUCAUAUCUUGAUUGCACAAAGGGACUUUUUUAUUAUACGAAAUAAGAUAAUUUUUUGUUUUAAAAGUCUUGCUAUUUUUUCUCGUACCUUUCUUUGUGGUACCAACUAAAGAUAUAUAAAACUAUUAAUCUCUGUGCAUAAUUAAUUAAUUUGUCAAAUUGUCAAGAUGCACAUUGAAUUGAGGUCUCUCCAAACUCCAACUUGAUCAGUGUCAAAUUCACCACAAUCAAAAGGGAGGAAUUGAGUCACUUUCUUCCUUUACAUUCAGAACCAAGUAGGGCACUGCAAUCACUGACUUAAUCUGUAGCCAAAAGUAUUCAGCUUUUAAGGAGAAAAGGAUCAAGAAAAUGCGAUUUUGUGAUAGAGGCAAGUUUUAACAUGGAUUGAGAUGCCAAACCACAUGUGAGGCUUUCACCAACAACAUUUUCUUGCAUUAAAAGAAUCUCUAUGGGGACAAAAGAGGCCUUAAGACUUUUUCUACUUAAAGCAUAUGGUUUUUCCAUAUGAAUAGACUAAGAACCAUUCCUAUAUGAAUAGACUCGUACAAUUGUAUUUGAGUGUCAGCUAUUUUAAUAUAUUAUUUUUUAUACAAGUGAUAUUCUACUUUAAUUUAAUCUAUAUUAUAAGAAGAGUGAUUUGAACUCAGAUGCAGAAUAAAAAGCAUAUUUUUUUUUUUUGCGAAAGAAGAGCAUAUUCAUUUUAGUCAACUUAACAAAGCCCAUAUGUGCAAUUAUUUUUCACAAUUAAACAACUCAAUUUGAGGUAGGAAUUUUCCUUAUACAAUUAAAUUGCUUGCUUUGCUGCAUGCAAUUUCAUUUCCAAAAAGUAUAUGCAUGGCCUAGCCAUUAUGUCUUUCAAAUCAACUGCUCAUCAUGGGGCAUCUUUUCAAGAAAUUAUUAAUCGUACCUAGCAUUGUCAGCAAGACGUUAGGGCUGUAAUUAUGUGAAGAGCGAUGUUUGCCAAAUCAAUUAUAUAGGGAGGACCUACUGCAAAACUACUUGUUCUUUGUUUUUUUAGGUCUGAAGUCCAUCUACUUGUUCAGUCCACGCCAAUGAAGUGUAGUCUAUCCAAAAUAGGAAGGGUGCUCCAGUUUAGACGCAAGUACUAUUUGUUUUUUUUUGGUCGAAAGGCGUAAGUACCAUGUGCAGGGUUUUGGGUUUUUCUUUGUAGACAAAAACAUUGAAGUAUCUAAAACAUAAUUGUUCUGACUAUUGAAAAAUUAGACAAAGGGGAAAUGAUUCUUAUGCCAAAAUGAAUUUCAACAUCACUUUCUACUGACAAAAUUUCAUUUGCUUGUAUCGAAGCUUUCAUUGAAAUUUAUUAAUUUUAACGAAAUUAGAAUAUGUCAUUUGUCACGUCAUUUGGUGAAUAAAAUUUAAAAAAAAUGUAGUAAGAUGCCAAGCCACAUAUAGGGAUGGCAACGGGUCGGGUAGGGGUUGGGUAUGACGAUACCAUCCCCGUUCUCGCUCUCCAUCCUCGCCCCUAUCCUUGAACCCAUUCCCGUUUAAUCGGUUUCGACGAAUCCCCAUCUCCGUCCUCAUCGGGGGACUAUCCCUCCUACCCGCCCCGAAUCCCUGAUUUUUUUUGCAUAAAAAAAAUAUUUAUCAUACAUUUUUACAUUAAAUUUUAUAUUAAAUUAUCAUUCAACACAUCCAAAUUAACUAUAAAGUUCAACUAAAAAUCACAUCAAUAUGAAAUUCCAAAGAAAAUUAGGAAGAAUUAUGGGAGGGAGGUUAACUUAGGGUUAAACAUAAAUAUUGUAAUUAUAUAUUUAUUUAUUUAAAUAUAAACAUAUAUAUUUUCGGUUCGGGUUCGGAGAUGGGGACGCCAAUACCAUCCCCUCCCCAUAUUCGUCGGGGAUUUUUCAAGUUCGGGGAUCUCCAUACCCGAUACUCGUUUGGUCUCGAAAUCUCCUCUCUUUUGGGUCGAUGAUAGGGAUGGCAACGGGUCGGGUAGGGGCUGGGUGUGAUAAUACCAUCUUCGUCCCCGCUCUUCAUCCCUGCCCCCGUCCUCGAAUUCAUCCCCGUGUAAUAGGUUUUGGGGAAUCCCUAUCCCCGUUCCAGUCGGGGGACUAUCCCCCAUACUCGCCCCAAAUCCCCAGAUUUUUUUUUUGCAUAAAAAAUAUUUAUCAUAUAUUUUAAUAUUAAAUUUCAUAUUAAAUUAUUAUUUAACACAUCCAAAUUAACUAUAAAGUUCAACUCAAUCAUUCAAAAUCACAUUAAUAUGAAAUCCCAAAGAAGAUUAGGAAGAAUUAGGAGAGGGAGGUUAACUUAGAGUUAAAUAUAAAUAUUAUAAUUAUAUAUUUAUUUAUUUAAAUAUAAACAUAUAUAUUUUCGGGUCGGGUUUGGAAAUGGAGACGCCAAUACCAUCCUCUUUCCAUACCCAUCGAGAAUUUUUCAAGUUCAGGGAUCCUGUACCCGAUACCCAUUUGGCCUCAAAAUCUCCCCCCAUUAGAAUUCGGGACCCACCCUGGCGGGGAUUUUUGCCAUCCCUAGCCACAUGUGAGGCUUUCACUAACAACGUUUUCUUGCAUUAAAAGAUUCUCUAUGGGGACAAAAGAAGCCUUAGACUUUUUCUACUUAAAGCAUAUGGUUUUUCCAUAUGAAUAGACUAAGAACCGUUCCUGUAUAAAUAGACUCGUGCAAUUGUAUUUGAGUGUCGGUUAUCUUAAUUUAUUAGUUUUUAUACAAGUGAUAUUCUACUUUAAUUUAAUCUAUAUCAUAAAAAAAGGGAUUUAAACUUGAAUGCAGAAUGGGAAGUACAUUCAUUUUAGCAAAUUUAACAAAGCUCAUAUGUGCAAUUAUUUUUUACAAUUAAACUACUCAAUUUGAUGUAGGAAUUUUCCUUAUACAAUUAAAUGCUUGCUUUGCUGCAUGCAAUUUCAUUUCAAAAAAGUAUAUGCACGGCGCAGCCAUCAUGUCUUUCAAAUCAACUUCUCACCAUAGGGCAUCUUUUCAAGAAAUUAUUAAUCGUACCUAGCAUUGUUAGCAAGACAUUAGGGCUGUAAUUAUGUGGAAAGUGAUGUUUGCCAAAUCAAUUAUAUAGGGAGGACCUACUGCAAAACGACUCUGUGUGAAACCCAUCUACUUGUUCUUUGCUUUUUUUUAGGUCUGAAGUCCAUCUACUUGUUCAGUCCACGCCAUUGUAGUCUAUCUAAAAUGGGAAGGGUGCCCCAGUUUAGGCGUAAGUACUUUUUGUUUUUUUUCGGUUGAAAGGCGUAAGUACUAUGUGCGGCGUUUUGGGUUUUUCUUUGUAGACAAAAAUAUUGAAGUAUCUAAAUCAUAAUUGUUUUGACUACUGAAAAAUGAAAAAUGCUAGCAACCUUCUUUCUAACAUUUUCUUUUGGACAUUUUCUUUUCUUUGCUUGACAUGUGUCAUUCUCCUUACACUUAAAACAAUGUCAUUAAUAUAUUAUACAAGCUAACUUUUGCUUUUCAAGUUUACCCUUAUUAAAUGUAUUUAAUUUAUUCAAAAAAAAUUCAGAACUUUCUUACAAUAUCUUAACAUUGAAGUAUCUAAAUCAUAAUUGUUUUGACUAUUGAAAAAUUAGACAAAGGGAAAAUGAUUCUUAUGCCAAAAUGAAUUUCAACAUCACUUUCGAUCGACAAAAUUUCAUUUGCUUAUAUCGAAGUUGGCAUUGAAAUUUAUUAAUUUUAAAAAAAUUAGAAUAUAUCAUCUGUCACGUCAUUUAGUGAAUAAAAUUUUUUAAAAAUCUUUCGGUGCCUCUAUAUUAUUAAGGCAUCAAAUAGUGCAAAUCAUGACAUCUUAUUUCAAUGUUCAUUAACAGACCUUCAUACAAUCAAGGCAUCGGAUGCAAGUAGGGUGGUCCCUUUCUCAACCCAAUAAUAUGAGUUCAAACAUUAUAUGUGGAACACAAUAACACUCCUUUUAAUCAUUCAAUCUAAAAGGGUAUAUGCGACAGCUGGCCAAGAGGUAUAUUCCAUGUACACAAAAUGUUACUUUCAAUUUCAACUACAUGCCAAUAUUUCUACAGCGAAAAUUCCAAUUAAACAUGCAAAAGGAAAAUGAAAUGUGAUGUGAUGUACUACCUAGGGCUCGUCAAUGAGCCGGGCUGGGUUAGCCAGGCCCAAAUUUAAUGGACUUGAGUCAGACCGGAAUUUUUUAGAAAAUUCAAAACCCAAGUCCGACCCAUGAACCGGACUUGAGAAAGUCCAUCGAACCAAGCCAAGCUAAGCCCAACAGGCAGGGCCUAAACAGGCCCUACUUCAUUAAAAAAAAUCGUAAACUUAAUCAUAAGGACAUUUUAGUCCAAAUUUGAGAUUAAACUCACUUAAUUCCAAUAUUUUCACAUCAAAUCAAAUUCAUAAAACACCCAAUAAAGUCAUACAACUUAUAAGAUUUUCCACAAAAAUAAUAAAACCAAGUAUUAUUUUUGAUGUUAUUACAUAAUUAGAUCGUAAUACGUUUUAAGAAAUAAUUUUAAAAAAUAAUAAGUAUCAAAAAAAUAUUUUUUUAAAGGAUGGUAUGAAUAAAUAUGCAAAUAUUUGGUGAUGUGUUCAAGAAAAGCAUGAUUAUAUUUGGUGGUACGAUUAUGUUUCGUGAUAUGAUUAUAUUUGGUGAUGUGAUAUGUUGUUCAUCUUAUUUAUAUAUAUAUAAUUGUUGAAUUAAUAAUUGACACAAAUUAAUGUGCUAAUCAUCCAAUUAUAAACUAGGAAUAAGUAAAUAAAAGUAAAUAAAAUGAAACAAAUUAUAUAUGUGAUUUAAGUGAUAUAAUCAUAAACCUAAACUCUUAAUUAUAUAUAAUUAUAUAUGUAUGCGGGCCUAACGGAUCGGGUUUUUGUGGGCGGGCCGGGUCGGGCUUUCUUGGGCUUAAUUGGACCGGGCCUAUGAGUCGGGCCGAGCUUUAGACACCCAAGCCCAAGCCUAGCCCGGCCUAAGGCGGGCCGGGCCAUCUCAAAGCUCAUAACGGGCCAGGCCGGGCUUUUUUUCGAUGGGCCGGGUGAGCCCCCAUCAGCCCAUGAGCCUGCGGGCCAAAUGAUGAGGCCUAGUACUACCUGUAGUGUCUAUUUGGAUAGAAAGAAGAAUAGAAAAUUCGGUAUAAGUCCAAUUCCUAUGAUAGAAUUUGGGUACAAUCCACAUAUUUGUUGUUAGUAAUUUAAGUCCUCUGACUUUUGUGCAAUGUAGGAUUACUUACCUCUUUUUUUUUUCAUUUCUAAGGUUUAUAUUUUAUUUUCUUAAUUUUUUAAUUUAUGUUGUGCUUCCAAUUUUGCCCCUAAGAUAGAAAUCAAGUAACCUAAAACAGUAAAAUAUCAAAAAUCGCGUUAAACAAUCCUCAUACGACAAGAAUAGAAAGAAUCGCAAAAAUCGUAUCUUUCACAAUCAAUUAUGGUCCUGUCAAGCCGUUUCUGUAAAUUUCAUGCUUCUUAAUUGCCGAGGGUUUUGGGUUUCAUUUUAGAGUUGAAUUUGCAUUUCGUCUUCUUCAAUUGCAGCCGGGGGAAUUUGCCGUCAUUUGGGGAUUCUCACCUUGCUUCUCCAUCAAUUGCAGUGCCUGUGUUCCAGGUACACUAUUAGAGGUUACCUAUGCCAUAGGUACACUGUUAGAGGUUGCCUUUAGCUGUGGAAUUAUGCUGCUAGAGAUGCAAUUAGCAAGGCUAAAACCAUGGAAAUAUGACUUCUAUGUACUAGCCAUAGCUGUUUGACUCGGCUAACCCAUUGCUUAUUCAUAUCAGCACGAUUAUUUAGAUAUCUAUGUCCAGUUCCCUUUUUAUACAUAUGACUUAUGUAAUGAGAAGUCUGCUAUUUGUAUUGUAGAUUAAUCUUAACUAAAAGCAUCUAAAAACCCAGCUGGAACAGCAGAAGUUCGCUCCUAACUAUUUCAUUUGGUGAUACAGUGUUUGAUGCAUGGUAUGUUAUAGGUUAUUUAUCAAAUUCAUAAAACUUUCUAAAUGUAGAAGCUUUAGAGGUGAUCGUGAUUGCGUGAAUUCAUUUGCUGUUUUUGGCUAGAGUUAUGAUUUGUACUAGCCCAAAUGUUUUGUGUGCAAAUGUCAUGAUCUGUACAUAUAUAUUGCAUUUAAUUUUUCCUCUCUCCCUCCUUCAUGUUAAUGACUUAAGAUUAUACUUGUGAGUUUUACAGUCAUGUUCUUGUUUUGUCCAAGCAGUUAUGUAAAUCUUCAUUUGUGCCUUCAUUAUUGUAGGGCCUUUUUCGUUCCGGCAACUACUGAUGGGUCUAGGAUGCUGUAAAGAGCCAAAUGUGUGAAAUUGUCCAGAGUCUAAGUUUAAGAAUCAGACCGUAAGAGUGCUUCGAAAAGGUAGCUGAGCCUUAGGAAACACCUUGGUCUUCUUCACCAAUGAAACCAACAGUUGCUUACAGAUAAAUUCUUGGCUUAGCUUGAGAAGCUUGUGGCAUGAAAGCUAAACAUUCAUGAAUUUAGCAUGAGAGAGAGAAAGUGUAACAUCUAGAAAAAAAAAAAAAAAAAGAAGAAGAAGAAACCUGUAAGCCAAACAUUCAUUAUUCCAUUCAUUCUUCCCCCUCUUCCCUUAGAUUCUCUUCAAAAAUCUGAUUUUGGGAUGAGUUGUUCAUCUAUUUGGGGUGAGUCACCUAGUCUAGGUUAAGGAUAUUAAUUUCUUAAACAAAGAUAAGAUUGGGGAUGAAGGGGAUGAAGGAAAUGAAAUUUGGGUGAGGCAGAGAAUGGAGAAUAGGGGGAAGAGAAGAAAAAAUUCUCUAAGGUGAGUCAAUUUAGAAUUUGUGAUUUUUAACUUUGUGUUUGUGUGUUUCUAGUGCCUUAAAGAGUAUUUUGAGUCAUUUGAGUGAUGGGGAAAUUGAAUUGGAAGAGUUUGAAUUUCUAUUUUUGGGUAGGGUGCGUAGAGUAAUUUUUCAAGUGUGGGUGUUUAUGAUUUCGGUUUCAUUUUGAGUUUUUUUAUGAGUUUUAAUGAUAGGUAUGAACUUUAGAAGAGUUUUAGAAGCUAUAGGAACAACUUGGAAGUGAUAGAAUGGUUAAAAACAACUUAGAACCAAAUCUGAAAAUUUGGAUUUUCUGGAAAUUUGCAGUCCUCGAGCCUUAUUUUGGCUCUAUUUUUCUCCCAAUCCUUUGAGUGUUUGAGGAAGACAUUUGUUGGGUUUUAAACUAGACUUGGCAAGGAACAAAACACAAUCGGUUUUGUGGAAUUUGGUUGAGUUUUUAUAGGUCAAACACAUGUGCAUAGUUUGGAAAACAAAUCUGUUUUCUGCAAAAAAAACAGCCACGAGUCCAACUUUGGAGCUAGUUUUCUCAUUCGUUUUAUCUCCUUUUGAGUAUGGUUUGUUGGGUUAGAAACUAGAGGAAAUAAGCUUCAAAACCACUACAAGUUUGCCCAAUUUUGUUAACGUUUGGCUGGUCAAAAUGUCUCACAAAGUCUGAAUUUUUAAUCUGGAAAAACGGGAAGUUGCAGAUUUUUAGGGAAGAUGAUGAACAGUAACCGAAAACAAGCCCACUCGCCACUAGCGGACCUAGUAAGGCGUAAGGAGGUGCAGAUGCACCUUCCCUCGCCGUAAAACCAUUGUAUGUGCUUUGCCCCUUUGCUCAACUGGUGUACAGAUUACCUUAUUUUCAUUUUCAACAUUUAAGUAAAUGUCUUUGUCCUUUUACUUUUAUAUAUUUUUAUAUUACUCAAUUUACUUAAGUUUACAAUGUAAAUAAGGAAGUACUCCCCAUUUGAAUUCAAAUAAAAAUACUAGAAAAUCAAAUUCCCACCAAAUCAAAAUAUGAAAAUUCGAUUUUAGUGCAAAAUAUGAUUUAGGCUAAAAAUGAUAGCCUAAAUCAAGUUUUCUAUUUGAUGUGUAAGGAAUAAAAGCCACCAAAAAUUAUCUUGAGAAAAUGAUUAUUCCGAAAAACCAUUUUUCAUACGUACUCAAUAUUACACCUCCGCUAAAAAAUUUCUGGGUCCGCCAGCGCCACUCGCGGCUCCAGUGAGUGGCGGCACGUGGUGGCUGUUUCGGCAGCCUCCGACGCCAUAUUUUUAGUCCAUUCGACUCGAUUUCUCAAUUUGCGUUCAAUGGUAUAUGUUUUGAGUCAAUCCAUGGUGGUGCAAAGUAUGGAUUGUUGUGGGGCCCACGAGACCCAAACUAGUAACUUUUGGAUAACGGGUGUAGUUGGCCUUUUUUCGGUAUUGACAGGGCAUAGGACAGAGUUUUAGAUUAUUUUGGACGAGAUUUGGCCUCUUUGGACCCCGGGUUGGUCCUAAGGGCAUUUUCGUCAUUUUCACGCAAAAUCUUUGAAAUGCAUAAAGUUGAGGUUGGACUUAGGUGAAAUAAAGUGAAGAUUACUCAAUAAUAAUUUGGAUUUGAAUUUGUUCAGGAAUUAGAUCAAAAGUGUAGAUUCGACAAUUCCGAGAAUCUCCGAAGGGUAAAUUUGGUACUUUAGCUAGUUGGACAUGAGGUAGGGUUUCCUGAUUCCCGAUGAUUGGGCUAUAUCCCUUUUAAUCUUGGUGCUUAUAUAUAAUACUAUAAAUAUGAAUAUUAUUGUUGCUUUACUCGGUGAAUAUUAUUUGAUGUUAUGUGAAUAUUAUUAUUGAUGUUCCUCCAUGGAUAUUAUUUUUUAUGUUGGAUGAAUAUAAUUAUUCAUGUGAUUAAGCCUAAUAUAUAUUAUUGUUAUUAUUUGUGUUAUUAUUCUGCAGAGAUAAAUGAGGUUUGCACUGCAUUACAUAUGCAUCAUAAAGAUAGUGGUGUUUGGGGGUGUGUGUGUGUCGUUUGAGGUAUAUCUAAGGGGUGGGAGAAGGCCUUAAAUAUAUCUGAGUAAUAAAAAUGUGAAAUAAAUUCAAGUGAUGGGAGUAGGACUUGAAUAUUGAGGUGAUGGGAGCAGGGCCUCUAAUGAAAAGUGAAAGUUGAGAAAUUCGUAAACAAAAGAAAACUGGGUUAAGGGAUGGAUGGGCGCUAGUUCAUAUUUUAAGGGUAUUCGGAGCCACAAUGGUAACAUGCAUGGUAUGGGACAUGCAGGCUUGUUGCCCUAAGGUAUGAAUUAGUAGGAUUAGAAGGGAGUGAGUUCAUGGCAUCACUGCAUAUGCAAAUUUAUUUAUCUAGUAUGGUUGUAUAAUUUCUGUAUCUUGUGUUGUUUGUUGUAUGACACUUUGAUUAACUAUGAUAGUUGACCUUGAGGGGUUUGACAGUACUCUAUUGGGUAUUAGAAUGCUCAUACCCUAAUAGAUUGUGCAGGAUUCAAGGUGAAGUUUGAGGAAACGGGUUUCAACCAAGCUACUAAACUUUUGUUGUUGAUUUGUGUAAUUAAUAAUUGUAAGUAGUCAACCAUUUGAUAAAGAUCUUAGUGUGUAUUUAACUACGAGCUACUGCGACUCUGAUUCUGUGUUAAGUAAAUUUGUAUUCAUUUGUGGCUCUUUUUCUCAUUAUAUCAUGAUUGUAGGAUUUUAUUCUUAUGACUAUGGUAUGACUCACACCCUGAUUCGGGAAUAUUCCUUAUUUUCGAAUCGGGUCGUGACAGAAAGACCAGGUUUUCUACGAGAAACAGAGGUUAAAGCAAAGGAUUUCGUGAGAAUUUGCUUAGGAGAACUGCAAAUUCUACUAAUCUCCACAGUAAGGCUAUUAUUAACAUUUGGAGAGUAGAAAAUUUGAGACUUCUCAAAACUUAUAACCUGGCUAGAAGCUAGGCAAAAUCUAUCAAGACAUCUGAUUGGGGGUGGUGAAAAUUCACCUAACCCGAGCACCUUUCGAAAAAACAAGCUCCGAGCAUGAAGAAUGGCAGCCGGGCUUAAGGAGUUGCAGCCAGGCUUGAGUAGCGACCGGCCUGAAGAAGUAUCACGGCCGACCUUGGAGAAGUUUGGCGGUCGGGUCUUGGAGUUUUCGAGAAGAACGGUCGGGCGUGAAGUUUGGCCACCGGGAAAGAAGUUUGGCAGCCGAGUCUCCAAGAGCUUGGCUGCCGAGUUUGCAUCAGCUGGAAGUUGGAGUGGCAGCCGGGCUUGGAGCAGCUAGAAUCUAGAAGAGCUGCAGCCGGGCUUCUAGUGGCCGAGGCCAUUGGAGCUAGAGUGGCCGGAACCCAGAGCUGGUGCUGGGCUGAAGAAAUCCGGAUUGUACUCAAUGCAAUCGGUUUGUGGCUUUGAGGAGCUGUAACAUUACAGCUGGAAAAGUAUGGUUAGAGAGAUUUUAGUUGGAGUACUCUUUAGUUUAUAUAUAUAUAUAUAUAUAUAAUAAAAGUGAGUGGCCAUUUAAUAGGGUUGGAGGUUUGAAAGUAAUUUGGGCCUUUAGAACUCAAGAGCUCAAAUCUCAUGAGGGUCAGCCCCAUAUAAUUCCAUGGAGCCCAGAGGUCCAAGCCUAAGCCACGGAAUCACGCCCAAGAUUUCCAGACGUCAGUGUGCACGUGACGGAAGGCCUCACAAAGAAAGAAAUCAAAGAGGUUGAUGACAAUUCAAAAUUUUCUAAAACGAGAGAAAAUCAAGCAACCAUAAUAUCUCUGCCAACGUGAUUCAUAGCUAGAAAGGAAAGAAUUUUAAAAGAGUUGAAAUUUGGCCAUUCAAUGGCUAGCUCAUGCCAAUGGGCACCCUAUAUAAACCUCACCAAACGAAGGUAGAAGACACACAUCAUUAGACACAUAAAUCUAUUUUUCGUCUCACACUUUUCUUUUCCUAGAUUUAGGGUUUUACUUUUCAAGCGCCUAGUGUAGCGAGUUCUUCCUUUUUUCUAGUGUAAGUUUAAAUUCUUGUUCAAUUUACAUUCCUUGUCUUUUAAAUUCUAGUUUGUUUCAAUUGCUUUACUUUUCAUUGUUAUCGCACUUUCAUUAAGUUUAAUUUCAAGUUUAAUUUAGUUUGUCGUUCUUAUUGUUCUUAUUUCUUUCUUGUUUAUUUAUCACCUUGAUAUAUUUUAUCAUACUUUAAUUCUCGUCUUUACAUUAUUUAUUUUACGCACUUUACUUUACUCAUUUAUCUUUAAAUUAUAUUUAAAUUUAAGCAGCUUUACUUUAUGCACUUGUUCUUCGUUUCAUUACGUUGACCUUCAAUCUUCAUCUUCACACACUCCACGUCCUUUGGUUGCUCACAUAAAGGCUUGACCCCGAAGUAGUGAAAGAACUUAUGCCAUGAGGAGGUUCUUUGCUCGGCCGAACAAUCGUUUGAUUAAAGUCAGAUCUCGGACACAACAUGCACUCACAUUCCAUUCAAGCCAAAUUCGUGGCUUGGUGGUAGCACGCCCUGCACUCAAAAAAGAAGAAGGACCAAAAGUUCCUUCCAUCGGCCGCCUUGGCCGAAAAGAGGGAAACAACAUUGCUUCAUCACUCUAGCCUGUCUUGUACUAGCUUUAGCAAAAAAGAGCAGAUCAUCCGCAAAACACAGGUGGGAGAUCUUAGGGCCAUUUCUAGAGAUAUUUCCUAAAAUAUGAGAAUUAUGAGAGAAUAUUUCUUUGUGGGUAUUUUCUAUGUAUUCUUCUCCUUGUAGGAGGUCAUAUUUAUAAUACAACGAAACCUGAAUGGGCAAGUAAAUAAUAAAUUCCUAAAUCUAUUUAGAGUAGGAAAUUAUGAAUUAAAGUAAAUCAAUUACAAUUAUAAUGGGAAUUCUUGGUGUGUAAGGAAAGUAAGUCAAUAGUCCAGAAGUCACGCCAACACUCCCCCUCACGUUGGUGCAUAGAUGUCGCCAAUGCCCAACUGAUCCAGUGAAUUGUGGAAUACUUUACUGAAAAUUGCCUUUGUCAAAAUAUCUGCCAAUUGAUCCUCGGAUAUUUUGACAAAGUGUCGAUCCACGAAAAGAAACUGAAACACUUUAGCCUCAAGCUUUUGUUUGAUAAAGUGUCGAUCCACCUGUGUUUUGGUGUGUAAGGAAAAUAAGUCAAUAGUCCACAAGUCACGCCAACAAUAUUGACAGCUCUCCACUCUUUCUUGACAACAGCCUCACUAAUCAUGUGAGAAAGUUUCUCAAGACACCAAAAACAAAUACGGUGACAGGGGAUCCCCCUCUGUCUCACUCCUCUUGCAGGAACAAAAGGCGGGGUAGCUUCACCAUUCACAAGAAUCUGGAACUAAACCGUGGAGACACAUUGCAUGAUCAAUUGGAUUGUAGACUUAUGAAGAUUGAUCUCUCUAAGAACAUACUCCAGAAAAUUUCAGUUCACUCUGUCAUAAGCUUUAAAGAUGUCAAUUUUCCAAGUGAUAAAACCUUUUUUCACUCAAAGAAAAAACAAACUUCCACUCUCUCUCUCUCUCUCUCUCUCUCUCUCUCUCUCUCUCUCUCUCUCUCUCUCUCUGUAUAUCAGGUUCUACAUUUCUCAGGAAGCUAUUAACUUGUUAUUAAAUGGUUCCUUGGGAUUGAUAUUCCAAAAUAGUUUAACAUCCUUUCCUGCCUUAGCAAUCAUAUUUCACACACUAAUGCAUGUUUUUCAGCGUGAUGUGGUAUUAGUUGAACUUCAAUAUUACAGAACUCUUGGUUCAUGCUCAUCACUGAACCUGAAACCUAGGAGUUUUUGUUUGGGAAUGUAACCAGGAAGAUCAAAAUAUACCAAACUUUUGCUCAUCAGGUAAAUAAAUUGUGUAGCUCUUAUUCUUGUUAUUAACUGUUAAAUUAAAAUCUCCACGUCAUCCUGUUUUUUUUUUUUUUUAACUGUUUGGUAACACCACUUUGCCAUCCAUAAACUAUAACUAUUCUUCUCCCUAAGGGAAUUUUACUAGGAAAUUAACCAUCUGGUAUGUAAAUCAUGUUUCAGAGUUCACAUUUAAACACAACCUUUAAACUUGGACAAUAAAUUAUAGGACCGUUGCCAAUGACCCGACGCCAUCUAUAACAAGUGUGGCUUGAACUGUUCUUGAAUUAGAAAGCAAAUUUAAAAAGCUCCAUUACUUAGCAUGUAAGUUAUGUUUCAGAGUUCAAUUGGAAAAAAUUAUGCUAUCGUUGGCAACUGUCCCUUGCCAUCUAUAACAAUCCAGGCUUGAACUUUUGUUGAAUUUAGGAAGCAAUUUAAUUAGCUUCACUACUCAAAAUGCAAAUUAUGUUUUUAAAUUUCAAAUUCAAACAUUAGGAAGCAAUUGAAUAAAUUAUGUGGCUGUUGCAACGGUCCCCUGCCAUAUUCGAUAUCUUCCAUUUUUAUCAUCUAUGACUUGAAAAGGCAUAACAGGGUAAUUAAGCUAACUCUAGUAUAAAUCUGCUCAAUUGUUCAAGUUAUCCAUCAUUGUGUGUUUGCUAAACCACAGCCUUAUUCAGUCGGGACAAUAAGAAAUAUGGCUGCAGCCCCUUCCCCAAGGAUGCUAAUCACUAAUAAGGGACCAUGUGUCCGCUACAUUGCUUGGACUCCACCCUUGAAUGGUUUCUGGAGGCUCAGCUUCACAGGUCAUUACAAGCACGAAUCAAAGACUGCUUCAGUCGGUUGCAUUAUGAGGGAUCACAAUGCUGUAUUUAAAGCUGCCUUUGAAUUAGGAGUGUGAGGCUCCGACAUGUCAACAUGUAUGGUAAUUUGGCUGCGAACUUGCUCGCGAGAAUUCCUUUGCAGCCUCAACAAGAGAGGUCUUGGUCCAGAACAAAUAAGUGGAAUUCUAGUGAGGGAUGUGAUCGGUCGUUGGAUACCUUUCUCAGACCUAUGAGUGAGUCAUCAUUUGGAUGACACAGAAGGACUUCGUAGACUUGUUUCUUCAAGGAAAAAUCUGUUAAGUUGCUUUUCCUUUUUGCUAAGUAGCAGUUUGCUUAGUAAUGAUUGUGAAAAGCCUUUGAUUUUUCUAAUCUCUUCCUUAAAGAAUUAAGAUGUGUGAACAUGUAACUACUAAGAACGAAAGUCAUCUGCUUAAUCUCACAUUUAAUUUUCCUUUUCUUCCUUCGUAGUUUACUUGUAUUCGCUGACCUUUCCGGUACUAACCAUGACCCCUAUCUGUCAAAACCAAGUUCAAAUAAGGGAGAAUUUUUAAGGGGAUAGAUUGAUGACUUUUGGGGGAGUUUUUUCUUAGUAAAACUUUUGUGGUUUUACUCAAUAACCAAGUUACUUUUUUUACUCGAUUUGGAUUUUUGCCUAUUUUGUCUAGAACCAAUUACGUUUGACAGGGAAACAAUUAUUAAAUAUUUCUUAGUCCAGUAGUACUUCUCUUCUCAAUAUUAAAAGAGAGUCGAAGUUUGAAUCCCUUCCCUAUAAACCAAAAAAAUGAUUAUUCCUGAAGCACUGACACUUUCUCAAGACUAAGCAUAUGAUAUGCGAAAUUACUUACUGACUAGGAUCUUGAUUUCUUAAGAACAAAAUGGAAAUUAAAAACCCAAAAAGCAAAAAAAAAAAAAAAAAAAAAAAAAAAAAAAAAAAAAAAAGAAGAAGAAAAAGUUAGCUGGGAGAUUAUCUGGGCGUUAAUAGAACCAAGCCAGUGGGCCAAAUCAAUCAUAUUAGAUUAUUUUGGGCCUGGGCCCGAUUAAAAAAGAUUUGGUCAGACACAUCACGUUUGUUUUUGGCCGUUGGACAUCAUAUUCAGAUGUUAUUAUAGUCAAAAGACUUUAAGAAAACACUAACACCCAAGCCAACGGUAACUUUCUUGUCUCUGUCUUCUCCUUCCCCUUUCUGUCUUCCCCUUUGCUGCUCCAAAUUCCAAUUAAAACCCCAAAACCAAACUUCACCAACACAAAAGUUCUUAGCUUUACAUCACAAAUGGCAUUAAAAGAAGCAGCUUCACUCACUUCACUGAAACAACAAGAACAAGAAGAAGAAGAAGAAAGAGAGAGGUUCAUAGUUUUGAGCAGCACUUGCAAAGUGGUGGAGUAUUUACAGCCAGUGAUGUCAAAAGAGCUUCUCUGCAAGUUUCCAGACAACUCUGCUUUCGAUUUUGACUACACUCAGAGUUCAAUAUGGUCCCCUUUGGUCCCUCGAGCUCAUGCUCCCAUGGAUUUGGACUUGGAUUUCGAUUUCAUGACGCCAAGGAAGCUCAAUUUCGAGAUGGGGUUGGAGUUGGAAAGUCAAAGCAGCAUCAAGAAAGUCAGUUCUAGUAUUAAGAAGAAGAUCUCCACCGCUGGAUUUAAUAUUAGCAGGAGUGCGUUGAAGAACAAGAAGAAGAAGAAGAAGAAGAAGAAGAGCAAGAUGGCAUUGGCUUCUGAUUUCUCUCCAACUCCUGUUAAGGUUCAUUGUAACCCCUUAGCCUCAAAGGUACUGCCUUUUUCAUCUGGGUUCUUAGAUCUUUCUUUUUUAUUUAUUUAUUUUAUAUACAUAUUUUUAUAAGCUGAAAGAAUCUGGGUUAGAGCACAAGGUUUAGAUCACUGAAUCUGAGAUUACCCUUUUGAGAUUUUCUCUGAAAAUGAUCUCAAUUUACAAGCUAUUUGAAGUAAAAAUAUGAAAUUUUUGGGGAAAGAGAUGAGAAUUUAAGGCAACCCAUAAAGAUGCAGUUGUUAGCAUCAAAGUUUUGGGAAUUUGUUUUCUGCUUUAGCGCCAAUUUCUCUGUUUUGCAGGGGAAGAACUUAGAACUAAAAUCAAUCUGGUGACUGGAUUUCUAACAUAUGAAGGUUCUGUCAUUUGUGUUCAGGUAUGGAAUAAGGUGCUAAAAGCUGCCUCUAAACAUUUCAAGAAAAAGAAGAGAGAUCCCAUGGACCAUGUGAGGCUCUCCAAUUAUCUGAGAGAUGGAAAUAUUUGAAGGCUUCCCCCAUUUGUAAUUCUUUUUUGUUUCAUUAAUUUAUUUAUUCAUUUAAUUGUCUUUUUAACCUGCAUUCUCAUUAACAGCAACAUUAUUAGCAUUUGGAGUUAAACAUUCCUCCAAAACAUUUAUGCCACUUAGAAAGAGAUUUAGUUAGAGCGGAUGUAUUUUGCACUUGGGUUUAAAUCCCUAAUUACAGAUUAGAUUAAAGUAGAACGUAAGAUUUACUCAAGCAAAGCAAACCACGCAUUCAUAAAAGUCUGCACUAAAAUUGUGACCCUGCACACAAAAUCAACUGCUUUAAUUAGAACUUGCCAACAUAACCUCAAUCAAGCUUUCAAAUGAAGCAGAUGAAGACCCCCCAUUACCAACAGCCCUCCUACACGCUCCACUCAUCUCCUGCACCUUCUUCCUCAGCUCAUCAUUACCGUCCAUCACACACCUCACAGCCCUCUCAAUCUCAUCAGCCACCACAAAAUGAUCUACACCGUCCUUUCUGUAGUUCAAUCUCAGCUCCACAGCCAGCCCCAAGUCCCUCACCAUCUGAAACGCAUUGAUCUGCUGCUCCGCAUACAGAGGCCAAGUCACAACAGGCACCCCAUGCCACAGGCUCUCCAUUAUUGAGUUCCAACCACAGUGUGACACGAAGCCCCCCACCGCCCUGUGGGCCAGGAUCUCCACCUGUGGGGCCCACCCACAUAAAAUCCCGACCCCACUGGUCCUCUCCAAGAACCCUUGAGGCAGAAACUCCUCGUGACUUGUGUGCUCCUCUAGCACCACAAACUUGCCCUUGGGCGGGUCUUUGCGCACGGACCACACGAACCUCUGCUUACUCUGCUCUAAGCCAAUAGCAAUCUCUCUCAGCUGGGCCUCAUCAAAGCUCCCAGAGCUCCCAAAGCAGAGGAACACCACUGAUCUUAAAGGCUGAUCGUCAAGCCACAUCAUGACUUUGUCAAAUUUGCUCUGAUGAUCAGAAUGCUGCGCAGGAUGCUCGCCUAUCAGGGGCCCAACUGUGUAAACAGGAGGGGUUUCACCAUCCGAAAGUGAGCCAACCGCAUGGGAUUCGAGCUGAAAAAUUGUGUUAACGAUUAUACCCUUCGUUUCCUUGAACCUCCUGGCAUGGUUUGCGAAGGAAAUGUACCCUUCGCUGCUGAAAGCAAAUGAAGGAAUUACGCUUGCAGGAACAGGGUUGACAUAACUCGGUACCACUGACUCGGAGUCCGAUUCUUUAAACACCGUGCCGACUCGGUCGUAGCGGCUCGAAAGGUGGAGCAGGAAGCCGAGAAAGCCAGCACCAGAAGUGAAGAACAGAAAUGAUGGAACCUUGAGUUCGUUGGCCACGUCGAUCAUGGUGGUGCAGAACAUAUCAACCACUAAACCAGAAACAGAGCAACUGGGCAAGACAUGGCUGGCUAUGGCUUCUCUCACAUGGUUCUUGUAGCCCUCUAUGUAGACUGUGAUGUAUUUUUCCACAGACUGUUGAAGAAACUCAAGUGGGCGGUUCACAGUGGGAAGGUCUAUGAUUUUGAUGUGGCCGUGGGAGACAGCAAGCGAUUGUGCGCUGGUGUUUGAGUUCAGAGUAGCAGAGGGUUCAAAUGGAGGUUUCAUGACCAGGAUUGUGAUUGAGAAUCGAUCACAGACAUCCAAUAAUCGUUUCGAAAACUCUAUUGCUGAUACAAGAUGGCCAACGGCCGGUGUGGGAACGAAAACCAGCUCUGCUCUCUUCAUGUUUUGUGCUGCUUUGUUUGCUCACUCUGUUGCUUUCUUGAUGGUGCAUGUUUGACAUAUAUUGAGAGCACUUGAGGUGGAUGAAGGAUGAUUGACGUCUUUCAAUUUUAUGUGGUGUAGGCCAACUCUGAGAAUAUAAAAAAAUUCCUUGUCAAAAAACAGAAGAGAGAGAGAGAGAAAUUCCCAAUGAUAAUGAGGCAUGUAAUGUGGGCUCACCGAAUCUAAGAUGAUUGUUUAAUGAAGGGAUCCGAGGUGGAUAAUGAGGCAAUCGGUCAAACUAAUCAAUUGCAUUCAUCAAUGAUAAUGAGGCAUGUAAUGUUGUCAAACUAAUAACAUUCUUCCUACUUAUCCACCACGGUGUCUUGUUAAUUAGAUGAUUGGUUUGGUUGUGUGGUGUUGUUUAAUUUAAGUCAUCGCAUUCAUCAAGCACAAGUAGUCACGAGAUUGAUUCGUGGUCCAUAAAACGCAGCCACCACCAAAGGAUGUGAUUGAUGACAUUAAUGUGAUUUGCUCAUAGUUUAUAAAACGGACUGUGCUUUUCAAUUUUUAAAAAAAUCACUUAUAAUCUCAAAAAAACAAUAAUAAAGUAGGCAUUUUGAACGAAAAUACCGCAAAAUUGCAUUUACCGAUCGCAUUUUAACCUCAUAAUUGACAUCGUCAAAACCCACCACAAAAUUAAAUAUUAUAUUUAAAAUAUAUAAUAUACAAUUCAAGAAUUAAAAAAAAUAAAAAAGAUAGCCAUUUGUUGGGCAUGCCAACACUCAUGCAUUGCUUAUGCGCCAAACCAAAGCCUGUUUUUUUCUUUAUUUUUUUAUUUUUUAUUUUUUACUUCUUUUUCUUCUCCCUCUCUCUAUUUUUUUCGAUCUCUCUUUUCUUUCUUUUUCCUUCUCCUCUUCUUUUCUCUUUCUAUUUUUCCUACUUCUUCCUCUCUCCGUCGCUUUCCAUCUCUCAUCUCUAACUUCUUCUCUACCUCUAUCUUUCUUUCUUUCUUCCUCUUUCUUCCUCUCUAUGUCUGUUUCCAUCUCUUCUCUCCCUCUUUCUUUUUUUUUAGGCCUAGUUAGGGUGGUGGAUUUUCUGGGAUUGCUUGGAUUGUUUAGGCCCAAAACAACACAAUCGGUGGAUACCGUUGUGGACAUUGACCGAUUUGCGAUUCCACCGAGUUGCGAUUAACCUCAACUCUUUGGCUGGUUUGCGAUCUCAAAUAAUGCAAUACCGCGAUUUCUCGGGCGGUUUGCGAUUUACAUGAAAUUUUGAGGUUACAGUACCACAUCCACCCCUAAGUUAGUUUUGGGGGAGAGAAAGAGAGAUCGAGAGAGAUCAUCUUCUUCUUUGGUCCAAGCUACUUUUUCUCAGCAAGGAGAUCUUCCCAUUUAAUUAAAAACUAAAUCUUUUUAUGAAAAAAAGUAGAAGAAAAAGUAGAAGAAGUAGCUACUAAAGGUGUUGUUCUUCUAGUUGUUUAUAUUCUUUGUUAUGUUGUGGAAAUUAGAAGGAAGAAGGAUAAAGGAGCGGAGAGCGACUGGGGAAGUCGCUUGGGCUGGUGUUGCUAGGGAGAGUUGGAUCUGAGUAGGGUUUUUUUUUUUUGUUUUUUGUUUUGUUUUUUUAUAUUUUUUUUAUAUAUAAUUUUAUUUUUAAAGCAUAGAGAAGAAAGAUUUUUUAUUAUUAAUUUUUCCAAUAUAUAUAUAUAAUUAAACAAGUAAUUACAUUAUUUUAUUAUAUAUUUAAUUCAGUUUAAACAAAAAAAAAAGGGUCAUUCACAUGACACAUCAUCACUUGUUGUAAAAAGAUUAAAAUACCCAUGUCACGUCAUCAAAAUUAACAGAGUUAUAAUAGAG
RNAcentral lists this long non-coding RNA (42548 nucleotides) under Prunus persica (peach). RNAcentral describes it as "long non-coding RNA (PPER_LNC003776)". Lineage: Eukaryota; Viridiplantae; Streptophyta; Magnoliopsida; Rosales; Rosaceae. The record is from RNAcentral.